Long non-coding RNA from Ictalurus punctatus (channel catfish), 417 nucleotides. The record is from Ensembl. NCBI's taxonomy places the organism in Eukaryota, Metazoa, Chordata, Actinopteri, Siluriformes, Ictaluridae.
CACCAAAUGUGUUAGAUAAGAGUUCAGAGCCUGUGUUCUAGACACAUGAUUUAGAGUACAGACUUGGGUCCUGCUAGAAAACAACUCAGAACAUUUGCUUAGCCUAAUACUUUUUUUUUUUUUAAUCUGCACAUAAUUAUUAUUGUAGCAGCUGCUUUUGCAAUAAAAAGACUUAAAGUCGAGGGUCCCUAUUCUUACUGAGGUGCUGUUUUCCACAUGCAGUGCUUGGCUGUGUUGGAGGUCACCAAGAAAGACUUCCUGGCUGUCAUGUGGAAGCUAAGUGGGCUGGGGUCAAAAGGGUUUCUGGCCAUGGUGCUUGUGCUGCAGUGAUCUUGUUCUCCAUCACACUCCAACACAGAUGGACCAGCAAACAGAUUUAAAGGCUGUUGUGAAUGAUGGGUUACAGAAAUGUCUUCC